Molecule: long non-coding RNA, 688 nt
Filed under: Linum usitatissimum (flax)
Lineage: Eukaryota; Viridiplantae; Streptophyta; Magnoliopsida; Malpighiales; Linaceae
Description: long non-coding RNA (LUSI_LNC002001)
Source: RNAcentral
UCCUUCUUCAACUGGUGGAUGUUCAGCAUCUUCUUUGGCACGCUCUUCUCCAACACUUUCCUGAUUUACCUUCAGGACCGUGUCGGGUGGACGCUUGGCUAUGGACUCCCCACUGCAGGGCUUGGGUUGUCCAUAGUUGUGUUCUUGUUUGGGACUCCUUUGUAUAGGCACAAGCUUCCUGCAGGAAGCCCUUUUACUAAAAUGGCUCAAGUGCUUGUUGCUGCUACUAGGAAAUGGAACGUUGAGCUUCCCGAUGAUCCCAAACAGCUCUAUGAACUUGGUGCUGAUCAGUAUGAUAAGCUCGGGAAGUUCACAGUUGAUCACACCCCUUCCUUGAGGUAAUCCACUGUUUUGUUUUCAUCACUCAUUCCAUAGGCUUAUUCAUCCUAAUAUUUCGAGUUAAUGCAUCCCGACCAAGUGGUUUUGGGAGUGAACUUUCUCUUUGAUUCCAUCGAACUUUUCACUUGCCAAACCAAGCCGGCAUGUGUUAUCCAUAAUUGACUCAGCCAAAGAACUCAAAUUGUUGACACACCAUAAAAAGAAACCAUCUUUCUCCCAACUUGAUUAGAAAUUCUGCAAUCAUGUUCUUGUAAUUAGUUAUAAUAUGCAAAAUUUUGGAUGCAGGUUUCUAGACAAAGCAGCAGCAAGAACAGGGAAAAGCUCACCAUGGAACCUAACACCAGUAACC